UGGGGAAUAUUGGGCAAUGGAGGGAACUCUGACCCAGCAACGCCGCGUGAGUGAAGAAGGUUUUCGGAUUGUAAAACUCUUUAAGCGGGGACGAAGAAAGUGACUGUACCCGCAGAAUAAGCAUCGGCUAACUACGUGCCAGCAGCCGCGGUAAUACGUAGGAUGCGAGCGUUAUCCGGAAUGACUGGGCGUAAAGGGUGCGUAGGUGGUCUGUCAAGUUGGCAGCGUAAUUCCGGGGCUCAACCGUGGAACUACUGCCAAAACUGGCAAGCUUGAGUGCGGUAGGGGUAUGUGGAAUUCCUAGUGUAGCGGUGGAAUGCGUAGAUAUUAGGAGGAACACCGGAGGCGAAAGCGACAUACUGGGCCGUAACUGACACUGAAGCACGAAAGCGUGGGGAGCAAACAGG
This 407-nucleotide ribosomal RNA is filed under the name uncultured bacterium. Its description in RNAcentral is "bacterial SSU rRNA". It matches the Rfam family "Bacterial small subunit ribosomal RNA", at positions 355 to 776 of the family's 1533-position model. The record is from RNAcentral.